This 253-nucleotide ribosomal RNA is filed under the name uncultured bacterium. Its description in RNAcentral is "partial 16S ribosomal RNA". It matches the Rfam family "Bacterial small subunit ribosomal RNA", at positions 524 to 776 of the family's 1533-position model. The record is from RNAcentral.
GACGAACCGAGCGAACGUUGUUCGGAAUCACUGGGCUUAAAGGGCGCGUAGGCGGGUGCUCAAGUCCGUGGUGAAAUCCUCCGGCUCAACCGGAGAACUGCCUCGGAUACUGGGUGCCUCGAGGGUGGUAGGGGUAUGCGGAACUAUCGGUGGAGCGGUGAAAUGCGUUGAUAUCGAUAGGAACUCCGGUGGCGAAGGCGGCAUACUGGACCACCUCUGACGCUGAGGCGCGAAAGCCAGGGGAGCAAACGGG